ACAAAAUGCCACCCAAAUACACGUACUAUUUCUUUAAAAACUACGGAUCCAGUGGAGAGCUGUCUCGAUUGUUGUUUGUCGCUGCUGGUGUUGAUUAUGAAGAUAUUCGAGUGGAAAUAUAUGAACCCGAGUCAGAGUGGAUAGACCUUAAACCAACUAUGCCUGGUGGAACUCUGCCUGUUCUGGAACUUGAUGGUCAGUUGUUUGGGGAUAGUGUCUUAAUAGUCAGAUAUUUAGCUCGUGAAUUUGCUGUCCUGGGCAGAUCUUGCCGUAUUUGACAUGAUGGAUCAUAUAAUGGCGUUUAAACUCAAUGUUUUAGAUAAUCACCCAUAAAUAGCAGCCAUCUUUAAAUUAGUGCCGUCAUUACCUGGACUUUCUGAAUAUCUGAAAAAUCGUCCAAUGACGUCAUCUUAGAGUGACAAUCAGUCAAUACAA
Molecule: long non-coding RNA, 435 nt
Organism: Patella vulgata (common limpet)
Lineage: Eukaryota; Metazoa; Mollusca; Gastropoda; Patellidae
Exons: 3
Source: RefSeq, a predicted model, not a curated record